This is a long non-coding RNA of Eutrema salsugineum, 1303 nucleotides long. RefSeq lists it as uncharacterized. The transcript has 7 exons. Lineage: Eukaryota; Viridiplantae; Streptophyta; Magnoliopsida; Brassicales; Brassicaceae. The record is from RefSeq and is a predicted model, not a curated record.
UGGGCUGGAUUCCUCUUCUCCGGCUUCCUAACUAAACUUUUUGUUCUCGCUCACACCUCACAGAUCUCCUCUUUCUCUGUGAAAUUUUGCAAAUUUAACCUAUUUUCACUUUCUAGCUUUGAAUUUCUUUGAUUUUUGUUCUCUGGUGCCCCUAAUUGCUGCGACGGGAUCCAAUGGAGGUCUCUGCCUCGCCCGGUACCUCAAUAGAAGCUAUUCGACGGUGUGAAAUGGAAGUGAAGAACAAAGUGUCUGCUAAUUUAAUCGACAAUGUGGACAUUGAUGGAGGUCACGAGAGUGAUUCAACCAUUAGUAGCGUUAUAAGUAUAGAGGAUAAUUCGGUAGCUGAUGUUUCCGGUCAAAAUCUGAAGCUUUCCCUUCUGGAUGAUGCGGAUGAUUCGGGACUAUUUGAAGAUCUCAAAGCUGACAGGACAGAAGACGACCAGGUUAGGCUGUUCCGGCCUGACGAAAACGCUCUUAGUAUGCAAACAGGUGCUGAUAGGCUUUGUAUGACACCACCUUCUAUGGAGCAAUUCAUCGAAGCAGUUAAGCAAACUGUACGUGCCAUCAAGAAAUGGAAUGGGUUCCUCCUCCGGGUAAAGGAGUUUUGUAUACAAGGCCUCGGCUAAUAGGGAGUGGCGCUAUCCUUAGAGCAGCUCCAGCACCUGAGUACACGUUCCUCAUUUACGCAUCUCCCGUAGGAGAUUACCAUAAGGUAAGCACAGGCCUGAAAGUUUAUCAUAAGUAUCGUCGAGCCCAUUCACUUGUUUUCAGAAGCGUGGAUGCUUAUUACUUUUGUUUCCAUGAGAUGUGAUCUGGUGAAGAUGCUUUUGAGACUGCAAAGAGUUGACGUUUCUUCUUCUCCUUAAUCUCAUUAGCUUUUGGUUUUAGUUCUUAUUCCUUCUCUCUGUUCUUGAGAGUUUAUUAAUUUUCUGAAUUUUUUGUUUUGCAGAAAAGAAGAAUAGUUGUAAUAUUUUGACCACGUUUAAGCAAAACGAGAGACUUGAAUCAGUUUCAGUUACAUCUCAUCAUUACAGUUCAUCAAAAGCAGGUUUUGGUUACAAUAAACUUUUCUCUAGAACAAUUGGAACGUGUUUUGGAUACAAGAUCAAAUCUGGUGGAGUUUUAUAUUGGACAAAAACAGAAGAGGGCAACAACUGCUGCAAAAACCGGUUGCAAGAUGAUCAAAUCUUUUUGAGUUACUGUGUGUGUUUGUUGCUUGGAACUGCAACUUAUGGCAUUGAUUCUCUCCCAGGCUAGGCAAGCUCUUCUCACUCAAAGAAUUGCUUCAGCACUUCAAGUAGCC